GGACCCGUAGUGUAAUGGAUAUCAUUCAGGCCUCCGGAGCCUGCGAUCCGGGUUCGAAUCCCGGCGGGUUCA
This 72-nucleotide transfer RNA is filed under the name Thermoplasmataceae archaeon. Its description in RNAcentral is "tRNA-Arg". It matches the Rfam family "tRNA". Rfam says of the family: Transfer RNA (tRNA) molecules are approximately 80 nucleotides in length. Their secondary structure includes four short double-helical elements and three loops (D, anti-codon, and T loops). Further hydrogen bonds mediate the characteristic L-shaped molecular structure. tRNAs have two regions of fundamental functional importance: the anti-codon, which is responsible for specific mRNA codon recognition, and the 3' end, to which the tRNAs corresponding amino acid is attached (by aminoacyl-tRNA synthetases). tRNAs cope with the degeneracy of the genetic code in two manners: having more than one tRNA (with a specific anti-codon) for a particular amino acid; and 'wobble' base-pairing, i.e. permitting non-standard base-pairing at the 3rd anti-codon position. RNAcentral also lists the same sequence under 1 other name. Lineage: Archaea; Methanobacteriati; Thermoplasmatota; Thermoplasmata; Thermoplasmatales; Thermoplasmataceae. The record is from RNAcentral.